AGAGAAGGCUGGACGGUCGCCGGCCGUGGCAACGCGGCGGGAGGAAAGUCCGGGCUCCGCAGGGCAGGGUGCUGGGUAACGCCCAGGGGGGGUAACCCCACGGACCAGUGCCACAGAAAAGAGACCGCCGUCUCGUCGAGCCUGCGAGGGUGGCGAGGCGGUAAGGGUGAAACGGUGAGGUAAGAGCUCACCAGCGGCGCGGGUGACCGCACCGGCUAGGUAAACCCCACCCGGAGCAAGACCCAAUAGGGGAGCAAUGGCGUGGCCCGCGCCGCUCCCGGGUUAGGUCGCUGGAGACGCCGGGCAACCGGCGCCCUAGAGAAAUGACCGUCGCCCCGGCGGGAAACCGACGGGGAGACAGAACCCGGCUUACGGGCCUUCUCUGGCG
This 388-nucleotide RNase P RNA is filed under the name Candidatus Rokuibacteriota bacterium. RNAcentral's name for it is "Candidatus Rokubacteria bacterium RNase P RNA component class A". It matches the Rfam family "Bacterial RNase P class A". Rfam says of the family: Ribonuclease P (RNase P) is a ubiquitous endoribonuclease, found in archaea, bacteria and eukarya as well as chloroplasts and mitochondria. Its best characterised activity is the generation of mature 5'-ends of tRNAs by cleaving the 5'-leader elements of precursor-tRNAs. The record is from RNAcentral. Lineage: Bacteria; Candidatus Rokuibacteriota.